CCAGCCUGGCCGCUGCCCUGCGAUCAUGGGCACCGACGAGCACAGAAAAUGAAAUUAUUUAUAGCUGCCCGGUAUCCAUGGAUGGAUGGAGAGUUUUUACCUAGUACCAGUCUGGGGGACGGCGUGGGCGUCGGGUUCGUAUCACUUCGCAUAUCACGGUCGUGUUUCCGGUGUUUUCGUUGCUGGAAUGUUAGUGGCAAUAGGUCGAUGAAUCGCUCCUGGGUUAGGUUCAUGGUAUUCACUCACUAGCUUUAUUUUUCUUCUGAUACAACUGUGAUCUUCAUUUUGACCGUCGAAUGAUUUUCCGCUCAUUGGAACCGAAUAUCGAGUGUGGCGAUAGGCUUGCUUCCGUCGCUCAGCUAGUAUACAGUGAGUUGGUUUCAGAUUCGAGUGUGAGGCGGUCGUCGUCCUCUCUCUGUUGCUCUCAUGUCUCCGCCGGCCGCUUGCCCUGCGGCUUCGUGUCUCUCUACCGCCUCCGGUGUCGAUAGGAUGUCGUUCCCUCGGGGUGAGAAUUUGAGCUUCAGGUUUCAUGUGUCUGUAGCAGCACGGCCGCUCUCAAUGUCUUCGCGCAGCAUGAAUAAGUUAAUGAGCCUAGAGCUACGUUGAGAACGACCAGAUCUGCAUCAAUCGAUUUCUGAGUCUCGUCCGGGUGAAUAACUUGGACUAUGUUUCCACUCUCAAUUUCUUGCUCUCGCUCAUGAUUCGACGGAGCAUAGUUGUAAAGGAUAUAGUCCCAUUGUCCUGUUCAUUUGAACAAAUUCAUGCAGCACACUUUGUUAAAAAGUUGGUGCGAUUCGGGAAGAAAUUCUCUGGUGAUGUUAGACACAGGGGGAGCUUUAAUGCAAAGAAAGUCUAAAUUAUUCUUGAAUACCUGCUUGGAAACUCCUCUGGCUUAACAGUCACUUUAAAUUCUUUUGUCAAAGAGA
Physcomitrium patens is the source of this 926-nucleotide non-coding RNA. NCBI's taxonomy places the organism in Eukaryota, Viridiplantae, Streptophyta, Bryopsida, Funariales, Funariaceae. The record is from RefSeq and is a predicted model, not a curated record.